RNAcentral lists this ribosomal RNA (254 nucleotides) under uncultured bacterium. RNAcentral describes it as "partial 16S ribosomal RNA". It matches the Rfam family "Bacterial small subunit ribosomal RNA", at positions 524 to 776 of the family's 1533-position model. The record is from RNAcentral.
UACGUAGGGUGCGAGCGUUAAUCGGAAUUACUGGGCGUAAAGCGUGCGCAGGCGGUUGGUUAAGUCUGAUGUGAAAGCCCCGGGCUCAACUUGGGAACGGCAUUGGAAACUGGCCAGCUGGAGUGUGGCAGAGGGGGGUGGAAUUCCGCGUGUAGCAGUGAAAUGCGUAGAGAUGCGGAGGAACACCGAUGGCGAAGGCAGCCCCCUGGGCCAACACGUGACGCUCAGGCACGAAAGCGUGGGGAGCAAACAGG